UGUCAGAAUGCCAUGUUAAUACGGAUAUUUUUGUUUAUUUAUCAUUAUACAUUCAUUGUUGUUUUAUUUCAUAUGGUUGUUAAAAAGGGCUAAAAAUCUAUACGAAAAGGUGUAAAAAUGAGGGUAAAAUGUGUUAAUAAAUAUACGUCUCUAAAAUAAUAUUUGGUUAAAAAGAGGACUUUUAGUUUAGUGUUGCUUUACUGUGGAGCGUAAUGAGUCACGUGACGCGAGUUAGUUAGGCGGGUAACUGGAGAAUUAUGGGUCAGAACUAACGAACUUGGCGGCAGAGAGAGAACAACAAUUAAAGCUAACACGAGGUCUAAAGGCGCACACGGUAAAUGUUUGUCUGUUUCAUAUUGUUUAGUAAUGUGUUUAAUAUGCCUUUUUUCAAUGAAUCUUGUGUUUCGAGUUGUACACAGAAUUGUUGUGCUAGCUAGCAUAUACUGAACGGUUGCUUUGUUUUGUGUAGUUUUCACGGUGUCCGAUGAAGGACCAGAGAGAGGGAGAGAGAAAAGGAGAAAUAAACCUUCAAAAGACAUCA
This is a long non-coding RNA of Astyanax mexicanus (Mexican tetra), 541 nucleotides long. RefSeq lists it as uncharacterized. The transcript is spliced from 2 exons. The record is from RefSeq and is a predicted model, not a curated record. Lineage: Eukaryota; Metazoa; Chordata; Actinopteri; Characiformes; Acestrorhamphidae.